RNAcentral lists this ribosomal RNA (429 nucleotides) under Chloroflexota bacterium. RNAcentral's name for it is "Chloroflexi bacterium partial 16S ribosomal RNA". It matches the Rfam family "Bacterial small subunit ribosomal RNA", at positions 355 to 776 of the family's 1533-position model. The record is from RNAcentral. Lineage: Bacteria; Bacillati; Chloroflexota.
UGGGGAAUAUUGCACAAUGGGCGCAAGCCUGAUGCAGCCAUGCCGCGUGUAUGAAGAAGGCCUUCGGGUUGUAAAGUACUUUCAGCGGGGAGGAAGGGAGCAAAGUUAAUACCUUUGCUCAUUGACGUUACCCGCAGAAGAAGCACCGGCUAACUCCGUGCCAGCAGCCGCGGUAAUACGGAGGGUGCAAGCGUUAAUCGGAAUUACUGGGCGUAAAGCGCACGCAGGCGGUUUGUUAAGUCAGAUGUGAAAUCCCCGGGCUCAACCUGGGAACUGCAUCUGAGACUGGCAAGCGUGAGUCUCGUAGAGGGGGGUAGAAUUCCAGGUGUAGCGAUGAAAUGCGUAGAGAUCUGGAGGAAUACCGGUGGCGAAGGCGGCCCCCUGGACGAAGACUGACGCUCAGGUGCGAAAGCGUGGGGAGCAAACAGG